Molecule: ribosomal RNA, 398 nt
Filed under: uncultured bacterium
Lineage: Bacteria
Description: bacterial SSU rRNA
Rfam family: Bacterial small subunit ribosomal RNA
Source: RNAcentral
AUUGAACGCUGGCGGAAUGCUUUACACAUGCAAGUCGAGCGGCAGCGCGGGGCAACCUGGCGGCGAGCGGCGAACGGGUGAGUAAUACAUCGGAACGUACCCAGUUGUGGGGGAUAGCCCGGCGAAAGCCGGAUUAAUACCGCAUACGACCUGAGGGUGAAAGGGGGGGGAUCGCAAGACCUCUCGCAGUUGGAGCGGCCGAUGGCGGAUUAGCUAGUUGGUAGGGUAAAGGCCUACCAAGGCGACGAUCCGUAGCUGGUCUGAGAGGACGACCAGCCACACUGGAACUGAGACACGGUCCAGACUCCUACGGGAGGCAGCAGUGGGGAAUUUUGGACAAUGGGGGCAACCCUGAUCCAGCCAUUCCGCGUGAGUGAAGAAGGCCUCGGUUGUAAAGC